AGCUCCAAUAGCGUAUAUUAAAGUUGUUGCAGUUAAAAAGCUCGUAGUUGAAAUUUUGAUUGUAGCGGUCAGUCUCACACAGUGAGUGCUAGAUGUGCUGUGAUCAUGUUUCGUUGGAACGUGUGUGGCAUUGAGUUGUCGUGCAUGGGAAGACGAUCGUUUACUGUGAAAAAAUUAGAGUGUUCAAAGCAGGCUUAUGCCGUUGAAUAUAUUAGCAUGGAAUAAUAAGAUAGGACCAGGGUACUAUUUUGUUGGUUUGUGCACCUUGGUAAUGAUUAAUAGGGACAGUUGGGGAUAUUCGUAUUGCGGUGUCAGAGGUGAAAUUCUUGGAUUUCCGCAAGACGAGCUACUGCGAAAGCAUUUAUCAAGGAUGUUUUCAUUAAUCAAGAACGAAAGUAGG
RNAcentral lists this ribosomal RNA (400 nucleotides) under phytoplankton environmental sample. RNAcentral describes it as "partial small subunit ribosomal RNA". It matches the Rfam family "Eukaryotic small subunit ribosomal RNA", at positions 587 to 993 of the family's 1831-position model. The record is from RNAcentral.